RNAcentral lists this ribosomal RNA (499 nucleotides) under uncultured bacterium. RNAcentral's name for it is "bacterial SSU rRNA". It matches the Rfam family "Bacterial small subunit ribosomal RNA", at positions 30 to 523 of the family's 1533-position model. The record is from RNAcentral.
AUUGAACGCUGGCGGCAGGCCUAACACAUGCAAGUCGAGCGGAUGAAAGGGGCUUGCUCCUGGAUUCAGCGGCGGACGGGUGAGUAAUACGCAGGAAUCUACCUAGUAGUGGGGGAUAACGUUUCGAAAGGGACGCUAAUACCGCAUACGUUCUGAGGAAGAAAGCAGGGGAUCGUAAGACCUUGCGCUAUUAGAUGAGCUUGCGUCCGAUUAGCUAGUUGGUGGGGUAAAGGCCUACCAAGGCGACGAUCGGUAACUGGUCUGAGAGGAUGAUCAGUCACACUGGAACUGAGACACGGCCCAGACUCCUACGGGAGGCAGCAGUGGGGAAUUGUUCGCAAUGGGCGCAAGCCUGACGACGCAACGCCGCGUGGAGGAUGAAGGUCUUCGGAUUGUAAACUCCUGUUGAUCGGGACGAAAAGCUUCGACCUAACACGUCGAGGACUGACGGUACCGGUUGAGGAAGCCACGGCUAACUCUGUGCCAGCAGCCGCGGUAA